This 208-nucleotide ribosomal RNA is filed under the name uncultured Smithella sp. RNAcentral's name for it is "partial 16S ribosomal RNA". It matches the Rfam family "Bacterial small subunit ribosomal RNA", at positions 1175 to 1382 of the family's 1533-position model. The record is from RNAcentral. Lineage: Bacteria; Pseudomonadati; Thermodesulfobacteriota; Syntrophia; Syntrophales; Smithellaceae.
UGGGAUGACGUCAAGUCCUCAUGGCCUUUAUGCCUAGGGCUACACACGUGCUACAAUGGGUGGUACAAAGAGCAGCUAACUCGCGAGAGUAUGCAAAUCUCAAAAAGCCAUCCUCAGUUCGGAUUGGAGUCUGCAACUCGACUCCAUGAAGUUGGAAUCGCUAGUAAUCGCGGAUCAGCAUGCCGCGGUGAAUACGUUCCCGGGCCUU